CACCAGCCCCUCGAGUGGUGGGGAUGAUUAUUUGGUCUAAAGCGUCCGUAGCCGGCCGUGUAAGUUUCCCGUUAAAUCCAACGUCUCAAGCGUUGGACUGCGGGAAAUACUGCUCGGCUAGAGAGUGGGAGAGGCCAACGGUAUUCUGGGGGUAGGGGCGAAAUCCUUCGAUCCCCGGAGGACCACCAGUGGCGAAGGCUGUUGGCUAGAACACGUCUGACGGUCAGGGACGAAAGCUGGGGUAGCGAACCGGAUUAGAUACCCGGGUAGUCCCAGCCGUAAACGAUGCAUGCUAGGCGUUAGGUUGGCCACGUGCCACCCUAGUGCCGCAGGGAAGCCAUUAAGCAUGCCACCUGGGGAGUACGGCCGCAAGGCUGAAACUUAAAGGAAUUGGCGGGGAGCACCACCAGGCGUGAAGCCUGCGGUUU
RNAcentral lists this ribosomal RNA (428 nucleotides) under uncultured archaeon. Its description in RNAcentral is "bacterial SSU rRNA". It matches the Rfam family "Archaeal small subunit ribosomal RNA", at positions 474 to 903 of the family's 1478-position model. The record is from RNAcentral.